GGCCAGUUGGUCAAGUGGUCAAGACGCCGCCCUCUCACGGCGGAAUCAGGGGUUCGACUCCCCUACUGGCUG
Molecule: transfer RNA, 72 nt
Filed under: Candidatus Blautia gallistercoris
Lineage: Bacteria; Bacillati; Bacillota; Clostridia; Lachnospirales; Lachnospiraceae
Description: tRNA-Glu
Rfam family: tRNA
About the family: Transfer RNA (tRNA) molecules are approximately 80 nucleotides in length.
Source: RNAcentral